This 407-nucleotide ribosomal RNA is filed under the name uncultured bacterium. RNAcentral describes it as "partial 16S ribosomal RNA". It matches the Rfam family "Bacterial small subunit ribosomal RNA", at positions 28 to 526 of the family's 1533-position model. The record is from RNAcentral.
GACGAACGCUGGCGGCGUGCCUAAUACAUGCAAGUAGGACGCAGUUGAGAACGGGUGAGUAACGCGUAGGUAACUACCUAUUAGAGGGGGAUAACUAUUGGAAACGAUAGCUAAUACCGCAUACUAGUAGAUGGACUUGCGUUGUAUUAGCUAGUAGGUAGGGUAAUGGACUACCUAGACAACGAGACAUAGCCGACCUGAGACGGUGAUCGGCCACACUGGGAGUGAGACACGGCCCAUACUGCCAGGGGAGGCAGCAGAAGGGAGUCUGCGGCAAUAGGGGGGAACCUGACCGAGAGACGCCGCGUGAGUGAGGAGGAUUGUCGGAUCGUAGAGCUCUGUUGUUAAGGAAGCGGUACUGACCCAAAAAGGGACGGCUAACUACGUGCCAGCAGCCGCGGUAAUUC